GUGGAGAUAUAGCUCAGUGUUAAGAGUUCUUGCUUAGGCAAGUGCAAGGCCCUGGGUUCAAUUCCCAGCACUACA
Molecule: transfer RNA, 75 nt
Filed under: Marmota monax (woodchuck)
Lineage: Eukaryota; Metazoa; Chordata; Mammalia; Rodentia; Sciuridae
Description: tRNA.Undet
Source: RNAcentral